This is a long non-coding RNA of Musa acuminata subsp. malaccensis (wild Malaysian banana), 1227 nucleotides long. RefSeq lists it as uncharacterized. Lineage: Eukaryota; Viridiplantae; Streptophyta; Magnoliopsida; Zingiberales; Musaceae. The record is from RefSeq and is a predicted model, not a curated record.
CCGCCGUUUCUUUAUCCCUUCUCGGUCGCGGCCUUGAGGCGGCGCCGAUCUCCUGGAGAACCGAGUCACAGCGACGAUAGGCAUGGAUCCUGACCAGGCCUUCCCCGGCGGCGACCACAGCUUCGAGUUCGCAUUCGACUCCAGCAACUUCUCCGGCCGCGUGCUUCAGAUCGAGAUCAUGGCGGGGCCGGCCACCUCGAACGGAGGGACGACGGCGCGAAGGAGAAAGGUGAUGGUUCACAAAUUACCAACUCAUUAAGUGUGGGUUCUUCUCAUAUCCUUAGAGUUAAAUCCGUUUACAUUAGUUCUGCCAUACUGGCUGCAAAUAGCCCAUUCUUCUAUAAGAGGAAGCUGCUUUCAUGGACCUUCUAGGCUUUAUAAUCAGCAGAAGCUUUUCAACUACCUCUCCGGCCCUCCUCCUGGAUGUGUUGAUGGGCUGUGGAUAAGCUCGAGGUUGUUUCUUGCAUGCGGUAUUGUAGUCAGUAUCUUAGAAGCUUGCCUAUGACCACAGAAUCUGCAUUACUCUAUCUGGAUCUCCCUUGUAGCAUUUCAAUGGCCUCGGCAGUCCAGCUUUUAACCGAUGCAGCUAAGGAUUUCUUUGCUAAUAGUUUCAGGGACACAACCAAGUGUGUCAACAUUUAGAGGCAAGAAACACAAUCCAUGUGCAAAACUUUUUACAUAUUUUGUAACUCUGGAAGUGGACGUUGGAUCAGCUUUACAGUAGAAUGCAAGUUUGCCACAACAUCGAAGCCAUCAGGAGCAUUUGUGAGCAAAUACAAAGGCUUCUAGGCUUUCACAGGUGCGAAGGCCGUGGGCUACAGGAACCUGUUUGCCAUACCGUGGGCUUCCUUUAUUAGCAAGGAUAGCCUCUUCUUCAUCAACGGCACCCUUUGGUAGGGAGCUGAUUUGACCAUCAAGCAGCCUCAACCUCCGUCCCUGCAGUAGUACAAGUUCUCUUGAUUGUUGGAUUAAAGUUUACAUCUCAUGGAAGUCAAGGUUGUCAUUUCUUGGAGGAGUAAAAUGCCAUAUGCUGUAAUGAUAACAGUAAAAUGUUAUAUAUCAAGGAGGUCAAGAAAUCUGACCCUGUAAAUGUCUCUGAUUUUUCUACACACCUCAUGAAAGUAUAGUCGGUCUGUGUCACAGAAAUCCGAGUUUGGUGUGGAGUUCCAACCUAAUUUGUGUAUAUGGAAUUCUUAAUUCAUGCAAGAAUUCAUGAUCUUUUCAUCA